CCUUGACAUACUAAGAACUUUCCAGAGAUGGAUUGGUGCCUUCGGGAACUUAGAUACAGGUGCUGCAUGGCUGUCGUCAGCUCGUGUCGUGAGAUGUUGGGUUAAGUCCCGNAACGAGCGCAACCCUUUUCCUUAUUUGCCAGCGGGUCAUGCCGGGAACUUUAAGGAUACUGCCAGUGACAAACUGGAGGAAGGCGGGGACGACGUCAAGUCAUCAUGGCCCUUACGGCCAGGGCUACACACGUGCUACAAUGGUCGGUACAAAGGGUUGCUACCUCGCGAGAGGAUGCUAAUCUCAAAAAAGCCGAUCGUAGUCCGGAUCGCAGUCUGCAACUCGACUGCGUGAAGUCGGAAUCGCUAGUAAUCGCGGAUCAGAAUGCCGCGGUGAAUACGUUCCCGGGCCUUGUACACACCGCCCGUCACACCAUGGGAGUUUGUUGCACCAGAAGUAGGUAGUCUAACCGCAAGGAGGACGCUUACCACGGUGUGGCCGAUGACUGGGGUGAAGUCGUAACAAGGUAAGCGUAGAUGA
Molecule: ribosomal RNA, 532 nt
Filed under: uncultured bacterium
Lineage: Bacteria
Description: bacterial SSU rRNA
Rfam family: Bacterial small subunit ribosomal RNA
Source: RNAcentral